AGAGAGAGAGACACUAAAGAGAAAGACUAGAGAGAGAUAGUAGAGAAAGACACUAUUGAGAGAGACACUGUAGUAAAUCGCUAAAAAGAGAGAGACACACUAAAGAGAAAGACUAGAGAGAGAUAGUAGAGAAAGACACUAUUGAGAGAGACACUAGAGAGAUAGUAGAGAAAGACACUAUUGAGAGAGACACUGUAGUAAAUCGCUAAAAAGAGAGAGAGACACUAAAGAGAAACACUAGAGAGAGAUUAGUAGAGAAAGACACUAUUGAGAGACACUAGAGAGAGAUAGUAGAGAAAGACACUACUGAGAGAGACACGAGAGACACUAGAGAGAGACAAUAGAAGAGACACAAAGAGAGGUACCAGAGAGACACACUGUAGAAGAUCAUUAAAAAGAGAGAGACACUAGAGGGAGUGAGGGAUAGUAGAUGAAGACACUAGGGAGAGAGACAUGACAGACACUAGAGAGAGGCACUAGACGAGAUAGAGAGAGAGAUACCAGAGAGAGACACACUGUAGAAGAUCAUUAAAAAGAGAUCGACACUAGAGAGAUUGAGAGAUAGUAGAGAAAGACACUAGGGAGAGAGACAUGACAGACACUAGAGAGAGGCACUAGAAGAGACGCAGAGAGAGACACCAGAGAGAGAGAGAGAGAGACACACACUGAAGAAGAUCAUUAAUAAGCGAUAGACACUAGAAAGAGUGAGAGAUAGUAGAAAAAGACACUAAGGAGAGAGACAUGAGAAACACUGAAGAGAGGCACUACGGAGAGAUAGUAGAGAGAGAGACAUACUAGAGGAAAAUACACUAGAGAGACACACACAGAAAUAGAGUGACACUAGGGAGAGACAGAGAAAGAGAGACACUAGGGAGGGAUAGUAGAGAGAGAGAAACACACUAUAGGAAAAAAGACACAAGAGAAAGACAAUAGAGAGAGACCCUAGAGAGAGACACUGUAGUAAAUCGUUAAAGAGAGAGAGAGACACUAAAGAGAAACACUGGAGAGAGAUUGUAGAGAAAGACACUACUGAGAGAGACACGAGAGACACUAGAGAGAGACAAUAGAAGAGACACAGAGAGGGAUACCAGAGAGAGACACACUAUAGAAGAUCAUUAAAAAGAGGGAGACACUAGAGGGAGUGAGGGAUAGUAGAUGAAGACACUAGGGAGAGAGACAUGACAGACACUAGAGAAAGGCACUAGAAGAGACACAGAGAGAGACACCAGAGAGAGAGACACACACACACACACUGUAGAAGAGAAAGACAAUAGGGAGGGAUAGUAGAGAGAGAGAAACACACUAUAGGAAAAAAGACACAAGAGAAAGACAAUAGAGAAAGACCCUAGAGAGCGGCCCAGAGAUACAGACAUAAGACACUAUGGAGAGACAGUAGAGAGAGUGACAUUAGAGAGAGAGAGACAGAGAGAGAAUGACCUGAGAAAGACACUAGAGGAAGACACAAAUAGAGAGAGACACUAGACAGAGACAAUGGAGAGAGAGACAGAUGGUGAGAGUAGAGAGAGCGAGACAUUAGAGAGAAAGACAGACAGACAGGGAGAGAUACACAGAGUGUGAGAGAGACAGACUGAGAGAGAAAGACAGAAAGAGAGUGAGAGAUAGCAAGACAGUUCCUUGGAUUAAGUCAUUCUUGCUGAUUAAGACCAGCUCACGC
Ictalurus punctatus (channel catfish) is the source of this 1675-nucleotide long non-coding RNA. The record is from Ensembl. NCBI's taxonomy places the organism in Eukaryota, Metazoa, Chordata, Actinopteri, Siluriformes, Ictaluridae.